GAGUUUGAUCGUGGCUCAGAUUGAACGCUGGCGGCAUGCCUUACACAUGCAAGUCGAACGGCAGCAUGAUCUAGCUUGCUAGAUUGAUGGCGAGUGGCGAACGGGUGAGUAAUACAUCGGAACGUGCCCUGUAGUGGGGGAUAACUAGUCGAAAGAUUAGCUAAUACCGCAUACGACCUGAGGGUGAAAGUGGGGGACCGCAAGGCCUCAUGCUAUAGGAGCGGCCGAUGUCUGAUUAGCUAGUUGGUGGGGUAAAGGCCCACCAAGGCGACGAUCAGUAGCUGGUCUGAGAGGACGAUCAGCCACACUGGGACUGAGACACGGCCCAGACUCCUACGGGAGGCAGCAGUGGGAAUUUUGGACAAUGGGCGAAAGCCUGAUCCAGCAAUGCCGCGUGUGUGAAGAAGGCCUCGG
This 414-nucleotide ribosomal RNA is filed under the name uncultured microorganism. RNAcentral describes it as "bacterial SSU rRNA". It matches the Rfam family "Bacterial small subunit ribosomal RNA", at positions 9 to 420 of the family's 1533-position model. The record is from RNAcentral.